This 71-nucleotide transfer RNA is filed under the name Ctenochauliodes sagittiformis. RNAcentral's name for it is "tRNA-Val". The record is from RNAcentral. Lineage: Eukaryota; Metazoa; Arthropoda; Insecta; Megaloptera; Corydalidae.
CAAAUUAGAACUUGGGAAGAUAAGUAUUUCAUUUACAUUGAAAAUGAGUUGUGCAAAUCAAUAUAAUUUGA